Lytechinus pictus (painted urchin) is the source of this 4036-nucleotide long non-coding RNA. RefSeq lists it as uncharacterized. The record is from RefSeq and is a predicted model, not a curated record. NCBI's taxonomy places the organism in Eukaryota, Metazoa, Echinodermata, Echinoidea, Temnopleuroida, Toxopneustidae. The transcript is spliced from 3 exons.
GGUUUCUCCAUUGUGGAAUUAUACCUUGACACCAAAACCAAAAGAGAAAUGCAGUAAUCAAAACUGACUCCAGCAAUUAAUCUUUGACUUCCCCACCCUUUUCCUUGAAAAUUCGGGUCACUUUCUUUCUCGUGUUAUAUUUUUUUCCAAUUCUCUGAAUUAUAAUACAAGUCGGCCUACAUCGAAACUUAUAUCAUUGCAAGUAUCUUUGCGACGUGUUUCGAGUGCUGUACAUCUGGGUUUCCUAUCUGCUCAAACAGACUGAUUUCUCGUUUAUGUGGGACCUGCCAUUAUCACGUAUACAUGUUAGGCAAAAUCGCUAGGUCAGCACACGUCAGCCGGUGAGAAAAAGAGAAGUUGGCUAGACUUUUUUUUUCACCAACUGUAGGGAAGUUGUAUAAACCAGAGCCAUGUCCGUGCUACCAUACGGGCAAACAAUCAUGGAUAUACAGUGGGAUUUUAUGCUCAGUGUUCGCGCCAUUAUCCAGUAGAGAAAUUUAACGAAAAAUUUAGCUGAAUUUGCAACGAAGGUUGUUACACGUUGAAAUAAUGGAGCUACUAUGACAGUAACAAAAACUUACCACAGACAUGACAGGGCAAAGCGUUUACAAUCCAUAUCAGUUUCAUAUAUAAAUUUUGGAUAAUGAUAUUAUAUUGAUCAUGGUUUCACAGACUUACUAGAUUGUACUAGGCCUCUUAUUCAUGAAUGCUAAAGUGCAAUUAUUUCGGAAUGCUAAAGUGCAGUCUUUCGUAUGAGGGGGAUGAAUAUGAUGGAGGUAAAUGAUGGCAAACUGCUGUACCAAAAUACAUAUUUACAUGUCCAUACUUGUACGUGUAAAUAUGUUCGCGAAAUGAAUUAUGGAAUAGAUAAUUGUGUAUGUUCGUGAAGGGAUUGGGGUGCCUGGUAUUGUUUACCCGGCCAAAUGAAUGUUUUUAUAACCUGUCAAACUCAGUUCAUUCCUAUAUAAGCAUCAUUCUUCUUUCGUUAAAAAUAAAAUAAUUUAAACGUUAUCAACUCACGUUUCCUUACUGCGAUACUCAGCGAUAGAGAAACAUGAAAAAGACGAAAAGGGUAUAGCCUAGAUCGGGGAGAUAGAAAACCUACAUGAAGGAAAACUUGUGGGGAAACUACAUCACAACUGAUACAAAAGAACGAAGUUCGGUAAAGUAGAACUUUUUCUCUCAACAUAGUUCUAUUGAUAAUCUCAUCUCGACUCAUUUCAAUAUUACAUGCCAAUAUAACAUGAAGGUAGUAUUAAAAAAUAAUCAUCUCAGUAGAACUACUAGUCGUAUCGCUUAGGGUGAUGAUAUCAGGAAUUGUAUAGAGCCUAUAGGGACUGGCAAUGUACCAUCUGUAAUAGCUCUAUGGUACCAUGGUGGGUGAAAGCAUAUCGCACAGCUAAUGAAAGACGUGCUUGCUUGAUACAUGCUUGAUGCUACAGACUAGUCAAGGUACUAGAAUAUGCUAGUUGCACUUUAUGUUCCGAACAUUUUGCGACCAAGGUUUGCAAUCACCUUUCUGUCAUUCUUGUGAUGUAUCAGUUCAAUUAAACUUUCAAUCCAUCUGUAGAUGAAUGAUUUUCAAAGGGUCACAGUUCAGAUCAAUUAUCGUUAUGAAUAUGCUUAUAGUAUACACAGCGACCAUUCAAAAGCAAAUUCACAUCGAUACCUUUAAGGAAAGAUCACUACAACGCGGGACCUAUCAUAUGUUUUUAAACCUCAUAAUAUUAGCCAAAGUCAAAGAAGGUGGGGGGGGGGGAAUAUCGUAGGUUUAUAAGUGCCAUAUCGAUGUUGAUACAAUCUGGUCGGAAUAUCUACUACAGCAUAAACCUACAUCAUAUACUAAGCAUCACUUCUGUUCUAUUGGAUGCUUUAAGUUUGGUUAGUCGGUUGCUUGGUUAUCACUGAGGUUAGAGAUUUAAUAAAUGUGGUUUUGUAUGUUCGAGCGAUUGUUGGCUUUGCUCGAACUUUUCACGCAGCCUACAAAUAUCACCUAAACACCGCUCCCACAAUUUUACUUUGCCUUUCGACAAGGCUGUAAAACAUAUGCAUCAGCUUCGGACCACUGGACUGACACCCUGUACCUAAAAUAAUGUAGGCCAACACCAUCUUGGAAACCCCUCCCGCUGAUGACAGUCAUAACACUCGAUGUUACCGUAAACUGACCUAAGGUCACCAGACUGCAAUUGACCUCAAAGUGACCUUACAGUUCUCCUCUUUCUUUACCUCCCGAUGUCACCUUGUCAAAAUGAUUCAUGUAGUAACGAUAAAUAAUUACGGUUGGCUCACCCUGGCCAAGCAGGUUAAAGGAGCCCGGUUUUUUAAUUCUGCGACGUUUCAAAUAUGAUAAACAUGAUCAGCGUUUUACUUUAACCAACCCUCGUCAGCAACCAUGUAACGCGAAAGUUUUUGGCAAUGAUGAAAGCAUAAAUCUUUUCUUUGGAUUUUUGAAACAAUAUAUUUUAUAGGUAGGCCUAUAAAACUGAUCAGUCAUUAUCAGAAUGAAAGCCAGCUACUCCACAAUUCAAAAAAUAAAAAUAAAAGAAUAAGCAGUAUUCUGAAGUCUAUAACGUACGACUACGAGAAGACAACUCAAGCUUCUCGUGCUGAAGAGAUUUAUUCAAACAAUUGGGUAUAUAGAUUAAUCGAAGACAGUAUACAAGACGUGAACUACUAAUGUCCUUGGUCUAUUUUAUUGAUAAUAAUAUAGUAUUUCUAUACGACAGUUAUCAUGGCAAUGCCCAAAUAUCACACACACACAGGCACCUAAACUUUAAAUAUGGCCUAACUACAUAACCCUGGCCUGUUGACACAUUUAACCAUUCGAUUCCGAACUAACCUAUCAGUCAACAAUCUCCUUUUUCCCAUUUUCCAUUUUGCCAUGUCUGCCGCGUAUGAAGUGCAAUUCAUAAUAAUUGUGCCACACUUGGCGAGCCUAUUAUCGCCUUUUCUUUCUCCCAGCUCUAUGACUAUGAGAGUCAAUAGAUGAUGAAGGACAAAGAUCAAGAUCUUCUGCACUUUGAAUUAUACCACAUAAAUAGAAAAUGGGUCAUCGCCUCAAUGCUACGAUGUUGCAACAGCCAUGUACAUAAUUUAUAAUGUUCUAGACCCAUCUCCAACAAGUCAUCUACUUUCUCAUGCCUGGAUGCAAAUGAGGCUAGAUAAAGAACGAAUUCAAUUGUCUGGGCCAGCCUAUAAAUGCAGCUGAAUUGAUACGUGUCCCAGAUAACACACCUGACCUAUAUAAUUGGUAUUUACAUGCUUGUUGUUUGUGCAUUUCCACAUGAUUUAUUUAAUGCGGACAAUUACUGGGACGAGUCUGCCUAAAUAUCCCCUGUUCAUUUGAGACAGUGCACUACCCUACCAGACAAGCCUUGUUAAGCGUAGCCUAUAAUCUAGGCGGAGGCUGCAGUUAUUAUUGUCUUUGCUGUUAUGCUGAACGCAAGAGAUACGUCUGAUCUGGCGAAGACUACCUAUUUGUGACUGCCUGAUCGUAGCGUAAUAGAUGGUCCCACGUAUAAGCUUUUAUGUUCACAAAUCAAUAAGUCGUAUUUAUAUGAUAAUUUUCGAUAAAUACUCAAAUAUCAUUCAUCACUUUGGAAUAAUGUCCAUUCAUUCCAAACAUAUUUUAAGGCAUUCGGAAUGUAUAAGAAUCAUACUAGUAAUAGAGGUAAAUUCAUGAUCACAAAGUGACGAAGCCAUUUCUAAGACAGGAUGUAAAUGCCUAGCAUACAAAGCAGAAAUGUCAUAAAAUUAGAGAUUUUCAUGUCCUUCAUAUUUUUAGUGCCCGGAAUAAAUCCAUUGUACAGUUCAACAAGUGAGUUCUGGAAGCUAUUUGACCAGACAUUUCUUUUAAUUUCUUCAUCCGACCAAAGGUUUUUGGAUUACUUGGCGACGAAUGGCUCUGCAACAUGCAGCCCGCUCGUAAGAGUUAUAAUUGCUGACCUUGGUUAUUUUUUUUCCAACUGUGGAGUAGAACAGGUGGACUUGUCACAGAAUGAUGGAAACCACGUUAAAAUUACUGAUAUUCUCCUUC